This 505-nucleotide ribosomal RNA is filed under the name uncultured bacterium. Its description in RNAcentral is "partial 16S ribosomal RNA". It matches the Rfam family "Bacterial small subunit ribosomal RNA", at positions 28 to 507 of the family's 1533-position model. The record is from RNAcentral.
GACGAACGCUGGCGGCGUGCCUAAUACAUGCAAGUAGAACGCACAGUUUAUACCGUAGCUUGCUACACCAUAGACUGUGAGUUGCGAACGGGUGAGUAACGCGUAGGUAACCUGCCUGGUAGCGGGGGAUAACUAUUGGAAACGAUAGCUAAUACCGCAUAAUAUUAAUUAUUGCAUGAUAAUUAAUUGAAAGGUGCAAUUGCACCACUACCAGAUGGACCUGCGUUGUAUUAGCUAGUAGGUGAGGUAACGGCUCACCUAGGCGACGAUACAUAGCCGACCUGAGAGGGUGAUCGGCCACACUGGGACUGGGACACGGCCCAGACUCCUACGGGGGGCAGCAGUAGGGGAUCUUCGGCAAUGGACGAAAGUCUGACCGAGCAACGCCGCGUGAGUGAAGAAGGUUUUCGGAUCGUAAAGCUCUGUUGUAAGAGAAGAACGGGUGUGAGAGUGGAAAGUUCACACUGUGACGGUAUCUUACCAGAAAGGGACGGCUAACUACGUG